RNAcentral lists this ribosomal RNA (116 nucleotides) under Salinivibrio siamensis. Lineage: Bacteria; Pseudomonadati; Pseudomonadota; Gammaproteobacteria; Vibrionales; Vibrionaceae. The record is from RNAcentral. RNAcentral also lists the same sequence under 1 other name.
CUUGGCGACCAUAGCGCUUUGGACCCACCUGACUCCAUGCCGAACUCAGUAGUGAAACGAAGCAGCGCCGAUGGUAGUGUGGGGUCUCCCCAUGUGAGAGUAGGACAUCGCCAGGU